GGGGGGAUAGCUCAAUGGUAGAGUUUAAGCCUGAAAAGCUUAAUGCGGUGGUUCGAUUCCACCUCCUCCCA
This 71-nucleotide transfer RNA is filed under the name Bacteroidota bacterium. RNAcentral's name for it is "Bacteroidetes bacterium (sediment metagenome) tRNA-Phe". It matches the Rfam family "tRNA". From Rfam's summary of the family: Transfer RNA (tRNA) molecules are approximately 80 nucleotides in length. Their secondary structure includes four short double-helical elements and three loops (D, anti-codon, and T loops). The record is from RNAcentral. Lineage: Bacteria; Pseudomonadati; Bacteroidota.